CACGCCCUAAACGAUGUCAACUAGGUGUUGGGAGGGUUAAACCUUUUAGUACCGUAGCUAACGCGUGAAGUUGACCGCCUGGGGANACGCGAAAAACCUUACCUACCCUUGACAUGUCAGGAAUCCCGAAGAGAUUUGGGAGUGCUCGAAAGAGAACCUGAACACAGGUGC
RNAcentral lists this ribosomal RNA (171 nucleotides) under uncultured bacterium. RNAcentral describes it as "partial 16S ribosomal RNA". The record is from RNAcentral.